GUUCUCCAGUUUCCCUUCAGAUCGUAGAAAUCUUUCCCCUUUUACUAAAGAUUUCAGUGGGGAGAAACGCGUACGAAUCUUACGAAUUUUUUUGUGGCUCCAUUACGGUGGAGCU
This is a small nuclear RNA of Melospiza georgiana, 115 nucleotides long. RefSeq annotates it as U5 spliceosomal RNA. Lineage: Eukaryota; Metazoa; Chordata; Aves; Passeriformes; Passerellidae. The transcript has a single exon. The record is from RefSeq and is a predicted model, not a curated record.